AUUGAACGCUGGCGGCAGGCCUAACACAUGCAAGUCGAGCGGAUGAAGGGAGCUUGCUCCUGGAUUCAGCGGCGGACGGGUGGGUAAUGCCUAGGAAUCUGCCUGGUAGUGGUUUAGAACGGCCGGAAGCGGGCGCUAAUACCGCAUACGUGCAUAGGGAGAAAGGGGGGGAGCUUCGGACCUUACGCUAUCAGAUGAGCCUAGGUCGGAUUAGCUAGUUGGUGGGGUAAAGGCCUACCAAGGCGACGAUCCGUAACUGGUCUGAGAGGAUGAUCAGUCACACUGGAACUGAGACACGGUCCAGACUCCUACGGGAGGCAGCAGUGGGGAAUAUUGGACAAUGGGCGAAAGCCUGAUCCAGCCAUGCCGCGUGUGUGAAGAAGGUCUUCGGAUUGUAAAGCACUUUAAGUUGGGAGGAAGGGCAGUAAGUUAAUACCUUGCUGUUUUGACGUUACCAACAGAAUAAGCACCGGCUAACUUCGUG
RNAcentral lists this ribosomal RNA (484 nucleotides) under uncultured bacterium. RNAcentral describes it as "partial 16S ribosomal RNA". It matches the Rfam family "Bacterial small subunit ribosomal RNA", at positions 30 to 507 of the family's 1533-position model. The record is from RNAcentral.